UACGGAGGGUGCAAGCGUUAUCCGGAUUCACUGGGUUUAAAGGGUGCGUAGGAGGGCAGGUAAGUCAGUGGUGAAAUCUCCGAGCUUAACUUGGAAACUGCCGUUGAUACUAUCUGUCUUGAAUAUUGUGGAGGUGAGCGGAAUAUGUCAUGUAGCGGUGAAAUGCUUAGAUAUGACAUAGAACACCAAUUGCGAAGGCAGCUCGCUACACAUAUAUUGACUCUGAGGCACGAAAGCUAGGGGAGCAAACGGG
This 253-nucleotide ribosomal RNA is filed under the name uncultured bacterium. RNAcentral describes it as "partial 16S ribosomal RNA". It matches the Rfam family "Bacterial small subunit ribosomal RNA", at positions 524 to 776 of the family's 1533-position model. The record is from RNAcentral.